UAGGUGAAGUGGGUAAUCCUAUGCUGCCAAGAAAAGCCUCUAGCGAGUGUUAAAGCCGCCCGUACCCCAAACCGACACAGGUGGUCAGGUAGAGAAUACUAAGGCGAUCGAGAUAACUAUGGUUAAGGAACUCGGCAAAAUGCCCCCGUAACUUCGGGAGAAGGGGGGCCCGUUCUGGUGAGGAGAUUUACUCUCCGAGCUGGGAUUGGCCGCAGAGACCAGGCCCAAGCGACUGUUUACUAAAAACACAGGUCCAUGCUAAGUCGCAAGACGCUGUAUAUGGACUGACGCCUGCCCGGUGCUGGAACGUUAAGGGGACGGGUUAGCGACUUCGGUCGCGAAGCUCAGAACUUAAGCGCCAGUAAACGGCGGUGGUAACUAUAACCAUCCUAAGGUAGCGAAAUGCCUUGUCGGGUAAGUUCCGACCUGCACGAAUGGCGUAACGACUUGGGCGCUGUCUCAACCGUUGACUCGGCGAAAUUGCACUACGAGUAAAGAUGCUCGUUACGCGCGGCAGGACGGAAAGACCCCUGGACCUUUACUACAGCUUGGUAUUGGUGGUCGAUUCGAUUUGUGUAGGAUAGGUGGGAGACUGUGAACUUCGGACGCCAGUUCGAAGGGAGUCAUCGUUGAAAUACCACUCUGAUCGUAUUGGCUGUCUAACCUAGAUCCGUAAUCCGGAUCAGGGACAGUGCCUGGUGGGUAGUUUAACUGGGGCGGUUGCCUCCUAAAAUGUAACGGAGGCGCUCAAAGGUUCCCUCAGCCUGGUUGGCAAUCAGGUAUCGAGUGUAAGUGCACAAGGGAGCUUGACUGUGAGACUGACGGGUCGAGCAGGGACGAAAGUCGGAACUAGUGAUCCGGUGCUGGCAAGUGGAAGCGGCGUCGCUCAACGGAUAAAAGGUACCCCGGGGAUAACAGGCUGAUCUUGCCCAAGAGUCCAUAUCGACGGCAUGGUUUGGCACCUCGAUGUCGGCUCGUCGCAUCCUGGGGCUGGAGUAGGUCCCAAGGGUUGGGCUGUUCGCCCAUUAAAGCGGCACGCGAGCUGGGUUUUAGAACGUCGUGAGACAGUUCGGUCCCUAUCCGCCGCGCGCGUAAGAGUCUUGAGAAGAUCUGUCCCUAGUACGAGAGGACCGGGAUGGACGAACCUCUGGUGUGUCAGUUGUCCUGCCAAGGGCACUGCUGAUUAGCUACGUUCGGAAGAGAUAACCGCUGAAAGCAUCUAAGCGGGAAACUCGCUUCAAGAUGAGGGCUCUCACAGGGUUAACCUGGUAAGGCCCCCAGUAGACCACUGGGUUGAUAGGCCGGAAGUGGAAGUGCGGUAACGCAUGCAGCUGACCGGUACUAAUAGGCCGAGGACUUGACCUG
This 1365-nucleotide ribosomal RNA is filed under the name metagenome. RNAcentral's name for it is "bacterial LSU rRNA". It matches the Rfam family "Bacterial large subunit ribosomal RNA", at positions 1582 to 2925 of the family's 2925-position model. The record is from RNAcentral.